This 3865-nucleotide long non-coding RNA is filed under the name Salmo salar (Atlantic salmon). RNAcentral describes it as "lncRNA (ENSSSAG00000099587.1)". The record is from RNAcentral. Lineage: Eukaryota; Metazoa; Chordata; Actinopteri; Salmoniformes; Salmonidae.
CACCAUUUAUGGGUCCUCGCAGUAUUGUCGACUUGAAGAUGCCUAAACAUGAGCUAAUUGUGUAAUGUUGAUCAUAUCAGCAAAGAGAAUCAACCUCUCUUUUAUAAAUAUUAGAAAAUUAGAUGUUUUCAGUGAAAACACAUUUUCCACUUAAUAUUUUAAACAAACGUUUUUAAAUACUACAUAAUAAUAUUUAUGCAGGCAAUAUUUAGCCACCUAGUGGUUAAGAGCGUUGGUCCCAUAGAGAAUGAUAAAGGCCUCUAGUGGCCAAAAGGCUAUUUUUGCAUGGGCAAUACCACUGCCGGCUGCCAUUAUUUUAAUCAAGUCAACUGGGUGGGACAUCCAACUUCAUUGGCUAAUCCCUCCUGGUAGCCUUGUUGGAGUCAUGUGCAACUGGGUCAUCAGGAGGAAUCAGCCAAUCGUGAAGAAGAAAAUAUACUACUUCAAAAUGGAGUUAGCCUUAAUGGCGCUGCUCAUGCUGUUACAGACGCCAUAAUGGCACGGAUACAAUGAUGAGGCCUCUUUCCAUCUCUAUGGUUGGGACAGUUACUGAAAGGUCACUGGUUUAUGUGAAAAAUCUGUCGAUGUGCCCUUGAGUAAGGCACUUUAUCCUAUUUGCGCCUGUAAGUCGCUCUGGAUAAGAGAAUCUGCUAAAUUACUUCCGUUUUUAUUUAGACAACAUUUGUUUGCAACUUUGCCAGGACGAGAAAUUGUGUUCCUGCGUUUGCACAAUGUCAUGUUGAAGUGGUAAGGAGAAGCUAUGAAAAAAAGUUAAAUAUUAUAAAAACAUUUGUGGAAGCAUGCAUGUCAAAUAUGGUUAAUUGGCCUACUCAACAAUGUCAACAGACUACACACUGUGGAAACCAAAAAAAGAGUGGAAUCCAGAACCAGUUUUCUGUCUACUACUAUCCAGUCUGGCCAAAAUGGACAAGUACUGAACACAAAAUGUGGUGUAAAGAGAAGAGGUGUAGCUAUACAGAAGAUACUGUAUAUAGAGCUGCAUUGUGGUCAGCCAUCAUUGGACAGGAACGUAGAAGGUUCAAGGCCUGGAAGGUGAUGAGGAGCAGCGUCAUGGCCUGUCUGUGCAGCACAACAGUUGGACAGUAAUACUCUUGGGACACGGGCUAGAAAGAUAAGGUUCGGUGGUGGCAUGAACUGCAGAUGAUGCAGACCAGAUACUGACAGAGGAUUAGUGUGGAAUGAAUGACGAGGCAUCUGCUAUAGCCUGAACUUGGCCGAGGAUGAGUGAAGAGGAGAAGGAGUCACUUGAAGUGGACGACUCCCUCAUUCUUUUUGGAUCAGAUUCAAGAUUACAGACUCACAGAAUUGUUUCGAUUAUUUCAAUAUUCUUUUUGGGUGCAAAGCACAAUUUAUGUCUUCAAAGCAUUAUAUAUGAUCACAUAAUAAUGCAUUAGCCUAUACAGUACCUGUUGGCCUUAUUUUAAGUGUUACCAAAUAAUCUAUUCAGUUAGGCCUGAAGCUAACAAUAUGUGAAAAAAGCAGAGUAUGUACUAAAUCAGAGAUGGGCAGCUCCAGUCCUCGGGGGCUUGACUGGUGUCACACUUUUACCCCAGCCCCAGCUAACACAUCUGACUCCAAUAAUCAACUAAUCAUGAUCUUUAGUUUAGAAUGUAAUUAGUUUCAUCAGCUGUUUUGAUUAGGUAUGUGUAAAAAGUGUGACACCAUUCCCGCCCCCGAGGACUGAAGUUGCCCAUACCUGUGCUAAAUGCAAACUUUAUUUUUAAUCAGAAAAAUGUCACCUAGGAACACUUUGCAUCAAGUGGAGUUGUGGUUAGUUACAAUGUGGUUGGGAACAAAAGGUGCAGCAGUACAAUGAAGAAGUUGGGCUUAAGUGGCCAGUGAUAGCUGAGCCUCUAUCAGUCAUAAUAGUCCCAAAUCCCUGCGCCCCACAGUAUACAUCACUUCUUAUGAGAACCAGGAACUAAAGCCACGUUGGCCCAUUUUUAAAGGCUGUGAGAAAUGGGAGCUUCUUUCAAAACCGUCCAUUUCAGAUGUCUUGGGUGGGACACACUGACGUGUUCUCUCUAUUGAUGGAGAAGCUUAUCUAGAUCUAUCUUCCCUGUGGGGCAAGCUGCCAACAGUUUUCUAAAGCCAUGAAAAUAUACUUUACUGAAUAGCAAGCAACCUCAGUGUGUGAAGAAAAUCAAAGUUGUGACAAUGCAUUUCAAGUUGGCCUCAAUAAAUGGACUAUCAUGAACAAAUGUCUUUUGUUUAAACAAACAAUGACCAAAUUUAAAGCCACAAGUACAUAAAAAUCUAAAAUCUUUGUAAACAAGAGGUGUGGACUAACAGUGAAAUGCUUACUUACGGGCCCUUCCCAACAAUGCAGAGACAAAGAAAGUACAGGGCCUUGGUCCAGUAACAUCUGUUUGGUUUGGUCUUGUUCUAGGCUGUGAUGAGUCAGGUUAUGACUGAUUAAACUUGAUAUAGCGAAUCCCAGACUUCAUUUAUGGAAUACCUAUGUUGCCCAAUGCAGCUGUGGCUACUCAAAUAGUUCCUAUGGGUGUAGGGAAAAGGGGGGCUGUUCUGGACUUGCCAGACUCUAGCAGUCACAUCAGUCUGGCCAUUAUCAAUGUAUGUGUGUGUGAGAGAGAGAGAAAGAGAAGGGGUUUUAGUGGUUUCAUCUGUGCAAUGUCAGCCCUUACGCCAGAGGAGUCUGGUGGGAGGAGCUAUAGGAGGACGUGCUCAUUGUAAUGACUGGAAUGGAGUCAAACAUGUGGUUUCCAUAUCUUUGAUGUGUUUACCGUUCCAUUUAUUCCAUUCCAGCCAUUACAAUGAGCCCAUCCUCCUCUGCUCCUCCCACCAGCCUCCUCUGCCGUACACCCCUCUGGGUCACCAAUGCGUUUGUCACGAGACGACUAUCACACUACACACACCCACACGUACACACUUUGACACUCCCCAAUUCACCAAAUAGCCCCAAUCUCUCACUCUCUCUCUCACACACACACACACACACACACACACACACACACACACACACACAACCGACUUAGAAAUCAAGGAAUGUCUUGGGUUCAUCAUGUCUUGGUACUUUGUAAUUUUUUGUAAUUUUUAUUAGGAUCCCCAUUAGCUAAUGCCAUAACGCUAGCUAAUCUUCCUGAGGUCCAACACCAAUUAACAAGACAUUACAAACAACCACAAUCAAGACUUCAAACAUUCAACAAGUAGACAGUACAGAUAAUUAAAAUACUGACAGGAAACACAUUUAACAUUCAGUUGAUACUUUCUAUUUGCUGUCCAGUCAUAUGGUCUAUUACAUUAGAUGUUCUUAUAUUUUGUUCUUGAAGGUGCCUGAGAAAUAUGGAUUGGUAAAAAAUUCCAUUCAGCUAUAGCUCUAUAUAAAGUUGUUUUCGCUGCCCUGAAUUUGCCUGUCUGGUUUGGUGGUUAUGCGUGUUGCUAUUAUGUACUAAUUGGACUGAAAAAUACUGUGUUUUUAAAAAAAAUAUAUAACAUUCCUAAAGAAAAUCAGACGACUAGAUAGUAAUUUGUUAUUAACGUGAAGCCAUGAGAGAUUCUGAUGCAUUUUAAUAAUAUUCAUUCGGUUAGAGCAAUGAAGAGAUAAUCUGGCAGUCCUGUUUUGAGCCAUUUGGAGCUUUUUUAUAUCUUUCUUUGCUGCAGAUGGCCAUAUAACUGGACAGUACUCUAAGUGUGAUAGGACCAGGGAUUGACCAUAUAACCGGACAGUACUCUAAGUGUGAUAGGACCAGGGAUUGAAUCACCAGAUUCAGAGUGCUAGAUGUUACAUACGCUGAACAUUUUCUUGUAACAGCAAUUCCCUUACCCAUCUUAAUAACAAUAUUAUCUAUGUGUUCUGACCAUGAUAAAGCUGCGUUCUACAUGA